Molecule: ribosomal RNA, 253 nt
Filed under: uncultured bacterium
Lineage: Bacteria
Description: partial 16S ribosomal RNA
Rfam family: Bacterial small subunit ribosomal RNA
Source: RNAcentral
UACAGAGGUCCCAAGCGUUGUUCGGAUUCAUUGGGCGUAAAGGGUGCGUAGGCGGCGCGGUAAGUCGGGUGUGAAAUUUCGGAGCUUAACUCCGAAACUGCAUUCGAUACUGGCGUGCUUGAGGACUGGAGAGGAGACUGGAAUUCAUGGUGUAGCAGUGAAAUGCGUAGAGAUCAUGAGGAAGACCAGUGGCGAAGGCGGGUCUCUGGACAGUUCCUGACACUGAGGCACGAAGGCCAGGGGAGCAAACGGG